UAUUGCACAAUGGGGGAAACCCUGAUGCAGCAACGCCGCGUGAAGGAAGAAGGCUUUCGGGUUGUAAACUUCUUUUAAGAGGGACGAAGGACGUGACGGUACCUCUUGAAUAAGCCACGGCUAACUACGUGCCAGCAGCCGCGGUAAUACGUAGGUGGCAAGCGUUAUCCGGAUUUAUUGGGUGUAAAGGGCGUGUAGGCGGGAGCGCAAGUCAGAUGUGAAAACUCAGGGCUCAACCCUGAGCCUGCAUUUGAAACUGUGUUUCUUGAGUGCUGGAGAGGCAAUCGGAAUUCCGUGUGUAGCGGUGAAAUGCGUAGAUAUACGGAGGAACACCAGUGGCGAAGGCGGAUUGCUGGACAGUAACUGACGCUGAGGCGCGAAAGCGUGGGGAGCAA
RNAcentral lists this ribosomal RNA (395 nucleotides) under uncultured bacterium. RNAcentral's name for it is "bacterial SSU rRNA". It matches the Rfam family "Bacterial small subunit ribosomal RNA", at positions 362 to 771 of the family's 1533-position model. The record is from RNAcentral.